AGUGAACGCUGGCGGUAGGCCUAACACAUGCAAGUCGAACGGCAGCACAGUAAGAGCUUGCUCUUACGGGUGGCGAGUGGCGGACGGGUGAGGAAUACAUCGGAAUCUACUUUUUCGCGGGGGAUAACGUAGGGAAACUUCCGCUAAUACCGCAUACGACCUACGGGUGAAAGCAGGGGAUCUUCGGACCUUGCGCGAUUGAAUGAGCCGAUGUCGGAUUAGCUAGUUGGCGGGGUAAAGGCCCACCAAGGCGACGAUCCGUAGCUGGUCUGAGAGGAUGAUCAGCCACACUGGAACUGAGACACGGUCCAGACUCCUACGGGAGGCAGCAGUGGGGAAUAUUGGACAAUGGGCGCAAGCCUGAUCCAGCCAUACCGCGUGGGUGAAGAAGGCCUUCGGGUUGUAAAGCCCUUUUGUUGGGAAAGAAAAGCAGCAGGUUAAUACCCCGCUGUUCUGACGGUACCCAAAGAAUAAGCACCGGCUAACUUCGUG
Molecule: ribosomal RNA, 492 nt
Filed under: uncultured bacterium
Lineage: Bacteria
Description: partial 16S ribosomal RNA
Rfam family: Bacterial small subunit ribosomal RNA
Source: RNAcentral